Long non-coding RNA from Lynx canadensis (Canada lynx), 703 nucleotides. RefSeq lists it as uncharacterized. The record is from RefSeq and is a predicted model, not a curated record. The transcript is spliced from 3 exons. Lineage: Eukaryota; Metazoa; Chordata; Mammalia; Carnivora; Felidae.
GGGGGGUAGUUUUGCACACCAGGACGCUCCUGCCUGUUUGUGUUUACGCCCAGAGAAGCCCCUCUUGGCAAGACGCUUGGAGGGGGCUCCAGAAGGCAGAGCUUGGAGAACGGCAUUUCGGAAGGCAGUGGGAGGGGAAGCCCUUCCUAAAGACGUCUCCUGCCCAGGAAAGACCAGCCACGCACCCUGCGCCCCAGCGGUAGGGAGCAGAUUCUACUGGUCCUUCCGUGUACCCAGCACUUCACGGAAGGAGUCCCAUUGAGUCCUUCAGACAGCCCUGUUGAUGUUACCCACAGUUUACGCGUGAAGAGACGGGCCUGCAGAGCGUGUCAGCAAGAAAGCACAGGAGUCAGAAAUGAAGCCUCCCUCCUGCCCCUGGGAAAUCUGACCUACGUCCAGCUCCAAAGGCUAUUUGGACAACGUAAGCUCCCCUGCCAUGUGUCAUGCCCUGGGGACAAAGAGGAGACCAUCUGUUUCAUCCCUGGGGGGUCCUGACAGAAAACCCUCUUGCAAAAGACAAGAAGGAAAUAUACCACCUGCUAACGGAAAUGGGAGUUGGACAGGUAGGAUUCAAGGUUUAUGUUGUUUCCUCCUUUUACCUAUUUUCCAACAUCUGUGCAGCAAGCAGGGUUGUGUUACUUUUAUUAAAAAAAGGGGGGGGGGGCGCCUGGCUGGCUCAGUCAGAAAGCAUGUGACUCUUGAU